This is a non-coding RNA of Pogona vitticeps (central bearded dragon), 571 nucleotides long. Lineage: Eukaryota; Metazoa; Chordata; Lepidosauria; Squamata; Agamidae. The record is from RefSeq and is a predicted model, not a curated record.
GAAGAAGGUCUCGUUCCCACCCACCCCGUCCCAGUGGGGUGGUAUCGCGAGAGCAAGCGGGUGAGAGGGCCGUAGAGCGGAAGCUGUUCUGCGGCGCUCCGGCUGAGGGCGAAAGAAGCUGCCGAGUGGGGAAGAGGAAGCGUGAGGGGGCCGCUCGGUGCGGAGCCCCAGGACCUUAACGGGUGGACUGGCCUUGGCUGUCUCCGCUGUCUAUGCCAAAUACGGAGCUAGAACUCCAGCAGAGCGGGCGGCGCGGAGGAUUGGAGGAGGAGGAGGAGGAGGAGGCUCAGCCGGGAGUUCCCGGAGAAGGGUUCGGGCAGAGGUCCUUUCCUAUCCUUUCCUAUCCCGUCAUUCCUGCCCAGGAUCGGUCGGAGCAUGGAAGCCGUCGCCAAAUACGAUUUCAAAGCCACCGCAGAUGAUGAGCUCAGUUUCAAACGGGGGGAUAUCCUUAAGGUUUUGAAUGAGGAAUGUGAUCAGAACUGGUACAAAGCAGAACUCAAUGGCAAGGAUGGCUUCAUUCCCAAAAAUUAUAUUGAAAUGAAACCACAUCCGUAAGUAAAAUACCAUGACU